GAUGAACGCUGGCGGCGUGCCUAAUACAUGCAAGUCGAGCGAACAGACGAGGAGCUUGCUCCUCUGACGUUAGCGGCGGACGUGUGAGUAACACGUGUAUCACCUACCUAUAAGACUGGGAUAACUUCGGGAAACCGGAGCUUAUACCGGAUAAUAUAUUGAACCGCAUGGUUCAAUAGUGAAAGACGGUUUUGCUGUAUCUUAUAGAUGGAUACCGGCCGCAUUAGCUAGUUGGUAAGGUAACGGCUUAUCAAGGCGACGAUGCGUAGCCGACCGGUGAGGGUGAUCGGCCACACUGGAGCUGAGACGCGGACCAGAGUCCUACGGGAGGCAGCAGUAGGGAAUCUGCGGCAAUGGGCGAAAGCCUGACGGAGCAACGCCGCGUGAGUGAUGAAGGUCUUCGGAUCGUAAAACUCUGUUAUUAGGGAAGAACAAAUGUGUAAGUAACUGUGCACGUCUUGACGGUACCUAAUCAGAAAGCCACGGCUAACUACGUG
This 497-nucleotide ribosomal RNA is filed under the name uncultured bacterium. RNAcentral describes it as "partial 16S ribosomal RNA". It matches the Rfam family "Bacterial small subunit ribosomal RNA", at positions 28 to 507 of the family's 1533-position model. The record is from RNAcentral.